UGGGGAAUAUUGCGCAAUGGGCGAAAGCCUGACGCAGCGACGCCGCGUGAGGGAUGAAGGUUUUCGGAUCGUAAACCUCUGUCAGAAGGGAAGAAACUACGUUGUGCUAAUCAGCAGCGUACUGACGGUACCUUCAAAGGAAGCACCGGCUAACUCCGUGCCAGCAGCCGCGGUAAUACGGAGGGUGCAAGCGUUAAUCGGAAUUACUGGGCGUAAAGCGCACGUAGGCUGUAGUGUAAGUCAGGGGUGAAAUCCCACGGCUCAACCGUGGAACUGCCUUUGAUACUGCACAACUUGAAUCCGGGAGAGGGUGGCGGAAUUCCAGGUGUAGGAGUGAAAUCCGUAGAUAUCUGGAGGAACAUCAGUGGCGAAGGCGGCCACCUGGACCGGUAUUGACGCUGAGGUGCGAAAGCGUGGGGAGCAAACA
This 427-nucleotide ribosomal RNA is filed under the name uncultured bacterium. RNAcentral describes it as "bacterial SSU rRNA". It matches the Rfam family "Bacterial small subunit ribosomal RNA", at positions 355 to 774 of the family's 1533-position model. The record is from RNAcentral. RNAcentral also lists the same sequence under 1 other name.